CACAGGACUUGCUUGUGAAAUGUCUCUGCACAUAAACCAGAGCUCUUUCACCUACAUUUCUCUCUCCAAAGAACAAUACUACUUGCGCUACAAGUUGUGUAACUGAAUACUGGAGCACUAAAAAAAGUGCUCUCAAACCGUAUGAAAUUCAGGGAGGUUUUUUUCUUUCCAGUACUCCAUUUUCAUAUGAAAAGGCUCUCUCUCUUUACAGGAUGGUCAGCAAGCACAAGCACUGAAGGGCCUGGUCUUUCAUCAGCGUCUGCAAGAGCAGAAGAGCCCUGAGACUCUGUGUGAGUACAGUGCAUUGCCUUUUGCUUCCUUUUACUGCUGUUUUAUGAAACAGAAGGAAGAGACAAUGUGAGCUUUUGUACAAAAGUGAGGUGACCUUUCCAAGUUACAUGUGGGAUCUGCUGCUGUUUCUAUAGAGACCAAACGCAUUAACCUGAGUCAAGUGGGAAUGCCUGAGGCUCAUUGAAAGGGAUAUCGUUUCUCAGAGAAAGCUGGAAGAUUUAAGUAAAAGGCUUGAUUCAUGUGUUUUACUUUUUAAACAAAGGGAAGCUGCAUUUAAACUUCCUCAAUUGGAUGUCUGAGCAAAGACAAACAUUUUGUAUCUGAUUUCAGCUUCCAAUUUCCAACUUGCAACAGUCCUACCAAAAAGCUGUCCUACUUUAGGGCCCCAAAUGCUUCUUUGGCUGAAUAAGACUGUACAAGAACUAGGUUUAGACUGGUGAAAUAUGCUUCUUGUUCAGUCACAGAGACUGCAAAAAUACUUUUAGAUGCUGCUUAGUUUGUCCAUCCUACAUCCAAAAACUCAUAAACUGAAAUAAAAUCUCCCCUCAAAGCA
This 844-nucleotide long non-coding RNA is filed under the name Junco hyemalis (dark-eyed junco). RNAcentral's name for it is "lncRNA (ENSJHYG00000015295.1)". The record is from RNAcentral. Lineage: Eukaryota; Metazoa; Chordata; Aves; Passeriformes; Passerellidae.